This 74-nucleotide transfer RNA is filed under the name Actinomycetes bacterium. RNAcentral describes it as "Actinobacteria bacterium tRNA-Arg". It matches the Rfam family "tRNA". Rfam says of the family: Transfer RNA (tRNA) molecules are approximately 80 nucleotides in length. Their secondary structure includes four short double-helical elements and three loops (D, anti-codon, and T loops). RNAcentral also lists the same sequence under 1 other name. The record is from RNAcentral. Lineage: Bacteria; Bacillati; Actinomycetota; Actinomycetes.
GCCCCCGUAGCUCAGCUGGAUAGAGCAUCGGACUUCUAAUCCGAAUGUCGCAGGUUCGAGUCCUGCCGGGGGCG